CUCNCUCUCUCCUCUCUCUCUCUCUCUCUCUCUCGCUGUGGGCUUCCUCGGUGGUCGAGGUUUCUUGAUUUCUCGCGCCUGGGAGACCACUUGGGUGCUUAUAUCCUUCUCCGCUUUCUUCGUCCCCAAGACGAGAAGCGCGGUAUAAUAUUUCGCUGGAGUCACCUGCGGGGAAGACUUAUGGGGGCUUGACCGCUCGUAGGAACGCGGUCGGGUCACGCUAUGGAGUUGCG
Molecule: long non-coding RNA, 233 nt
Filed under: Elaeis guineensis (African oil palm)
Lineage: Eukaryota; Viridiplantae; Streptophyta; Magnoliopsida; Arecales; Arecaceae
Description: long non-coding RNA (EGUI_LNC018710)
Source: RNAcentral